This 609-nucleotide ribosomal RNA is filed under the name Triticum aestivum (bread wheat). Its description in RNAcentral is "partial small subunit ribosomal RNA". The record is from RNAcentral. Lineage: Eukaryota; Viridiplantae; Streptophyta; Magnoliopsida; Poales; Poaceae.
AUGGUCCGACGUCCACCGGCCCACCUCAUCUCCCCCCGGCCUGCCCGCGAGCAAGCCCACGCGCCACCGCCAGAGCGCCGUAUAGGCCACCCGAGCCACUCCACCACGCGCCGGAGCAGGCCACCGGGCCGCAGAUCCUCGCUGCCCAGGCCACCUGCGCACAGACCACCCGCGCCGCCCACAGCCGCCAAUCACUCGAUCCGCAGCCACCGGCACCGAGGGCACGCCCCAUCUCAGCGCAGCCAGCCACGCCACCAGAGGUCUCCAAGCAGCACCGCCGGAGGGCUCUCCGUCGCGCCACCGCGACCCGCGAGCACGCGGCGCCCCGGACCAGCGGGAAGCGACCCCGGCCCGCGCCAGGACCCUGCACUCGAGGGGCGAGAAGACCCGCCGCUGCCGACGACGGUAGGGCAACCUGUGGCGGCGGCGGGGGAGGAGGGAGGGCUCGGAGGGGACUUGGGGCGGCGACGGCUAGGUUCCUCCCCGUCGCCCACGGAAGCAACGCGGGAGGAAAGGAAAGGGGAUCUAGUGGUAAAGUUAGGUUGCUUCAUACGAGUCCUCUUUCGUGGAUCAGGAUUUACUCAAGCUCAGGAGGUGUUUUUCUUUUAG